RNAcentral lists this ribosomal RNA (163 nucleotides) under uncultured bacterium. Its description in RNAcentral is "partial 16S ribosomal RNA". It matches the Rfam family "Bacterial small subunit ribosomal RNA", at positions 335 to 499 of the family's 1533-position model. The record is from RNAcentral.
ACUCCUACGGGAGGCAGCCGUAGGGAAUCUUCCGCAAUGGCCGCAAGUCUGACGGAGCAACGCCGCCGCAGUGAUGAAGGCCUCCGGGUCGUAAAACUCUGUUGUCCGGAAGAACAAGUACUAGUGAAUAAGCGGCACCUGACGUCCGCCAAAGCAGUCAAAA